CAAAAUGUAGCUUAACNAAAGCCUCUCGCUUACAUCGAGAAGACACCCGUGAGNCCCGGAUCAUUUUGA
RNAcentral lists this transfer RNA (69 nucleotides) under Dendropsophus haddadi. Its description in RNAcentral is "tRNA-Val". Lineage: Eukaryota; Metazoa; Chordata; Amphibia; Anura; Hylidae. The record is from RNAcentral.